Molecule: ribosomal RNA, 472 nt
Filed under: uncultured bacterium
Lineage: Bacteria
Description: bacterial SSU rRNA
Rfam family: Bacterial small subunit ribosomal RNA
Source: RNAcentral
UGAGGAAUUUUGGACAAUGGGGGCAACCCUGAUCCAGCAAUGCCGCGUGAGUGAAGAAGGCCUUCGGGUUGUAAAGCUCUUUUGUCAGGGAAGAAACGGUAGUAGCGAAUAACUAUUACUAAUGACGGUACCUGAAGAAUAAGCACCGGCUAACUACGUGCCAGCAGCCGCGGUAAUACGUAGGGUGCAAGCGUUAAUCGGAAUUACUGGGCGUAAAGCGUGCGCAGGCGGUUGUGUAAGUCAGAUGUGAAAUCCCCGGGCUCAACCUGGGAAUUGCAUUUGAGACUGCACGGCUAGAGUGUGUCAGAGGGGGGUAGAAUUCCACGUGUAGCAGUGAAAUGCGUAGAUAUGUGGAGGAAUACCGAUGGCGAAGGCAGCCCCCUGGGAUAACACUGACGCUCAUGCACGAAAGCGUGGGGAGCAAACAGGAUUAGAUACCCAAGUAGUCCCUGAGCGGGCUGGCAAGGCGCAU